GAAAAGCGUUGGGAGGAUUGGUCCAUCCAAUUUUAUAGAAGCUACUGCUCUUGCAAAGUAAUUUUUGGUAACUCUCCCUCUCCUUACCAUUUUCUUUCUUCUUUGCUGAUACAUUGAACUGGGAAUGUUGAACACGAUUAACUAAAUCUUAUUUUAUAACCACGAUUGAGUCUGGCAAAUUUGUAUGAUAAAAUGUGUGUGACUUUUGUGAUUCUAAUCUUGUUUACUGAAGGUUUUUUAGUAACAUAAAUCCUUGUUAUAUCUUUUUAACAUUUUUAAACACAUUAAAUCAUCUCCGGUGUGGAUCUAUAAAUCCUUCUUAUGUCACUUUCUUCUAGUGGUGGAGGAUGUCAGAGAAGAAUUCGUAUUAUGAAACUUCUAAAUAGGCUUAUAGACAACCUUUUUGAAUAGAUCAGACUUAUUUGGUUUAGCACAUUAAAUCAUCUCCGGUGACUUGUUUUGCAUAAAAAUGCUGCUGCGAUUUUUAUUAUUGUUCACUUGUGAUUUGCUUUCGAAAUUGUCUCAUGCAAUUUAGAAAUGCCCAUAACAAAUUUUGUGGUAUUAAUCUUAAAAUUUGGACUAGUUUGCAACUCCACUAUAUGACCUUGUGGAUCUAUUCAGCGCUCAAAAAAGUAUUUGGCUUGACAAACAGGGAAGCAGAAGCCAUUUAAUCAAGCAGAAUCAGAUCACAUUUCAAUUAAAUGUUCAACAAUAAGGUAAGUGAAGACAAUAUGGAAGCAUUUUAUGCUUCUGUUGAAGCAGAGACAAAUUGUAUGUCAUCUAAACCCAAC
RNAcentral lists this long non-coding RNA (791 nucleotides) under Lupinus angustifolius (narrow-leaved blue lupine). RNAcentral describes it as "long non-coding RNA (LANG_LNC003033)". Lineage: Eukaryota; Viridiplantae; Streptophyta; Magnoliopsida; Fabales; Fabaceae. The record is from RNAcentral.